CCAGCCUCCCGCCGCGAUGAUCCGCACCCACCUCGGGCCCCCGGCCUUACCAAGCCGGGUCUCGGCGCUCGAGACUCCCUCCGCCUGCUGAACGCACGCAGGACUUAAACCUGUCUCUCCAGCCCCCCGCCCGCGGUUUUGCUCUGUACCUCUGCUGACCGCGCGCUCCCGCCUCUUCGCUGCCUUGGCGACAGUCCCCGCCCCCCCGACAGCCUCUGAUUGGUCCGACUAGGAUGGCGGAAGUUGCGGAUUGGCGGGGUCGGAGACGAGGCCGCGCCCGGGGGCUGAGAGGCGGGCAGCGUGGACCAGGAACGCGAAGGAGCCUGGGGGAGCCUAAGCCAAGAGGGACGUGGCGCUCUGCGACGCGGGCGGGCAAGCCGCGCCCCUUCCUUCUUCAGCUCUCAUGGAGAAACCUGCGAAGCAGGAUUUGGGCGGGAUCCCACAGAACACCAACUGGCCAAAUUCUUCAUUGUCUUCAGAAGAGGGGAGAGGAAGGCAGGAGUAUUUACUGACAAGAGACAAGCCCUGGGCAGUAGCACCCUCAAGGAGCUGUGCUGUGAAGGAGUGAGCAUCACACUAAAGAAAUGGAGGCCAGAAGUCACCAUCCAAAGAACUCAAGUAGGAUGCACCCAAAGCUAAUUACCAUCAGACGAUGUCUUUCACGUGAAAUUUUAAUUUGCUUAGAAUUUUUUAAAGUCUGGAAUUCCAACUCCCAGAGGGUAUUGGAAAGGAAGUCCUUAGACAACAACUAUGUAACAGGCUUAGAAAACAAC
RNAcentral lists this long non-coding RNA (773 nucleotides) under Ailuropoda melanoleuca (giant panda). RNAcentral describes it as "lncRNA (ENSAMEG00000031357.1)". Lineage: Eukaryota; Metazoa; Chordata; Mammalia; Carnivora; Ursidae. The record is from RNAcentral.